AGUGAACGCUGGCGGUAGGCCUAACACAUGCAAGUCGAACGGCAGCACCGCAAGAGCUGUACAUUACGGGCGACGGGGGGCGUAACGGGGGGGAAUCCUUCGCACUCCACUUUUUCGUGGGGGAUAACGUGGGGCAACUACCGCUAAUACCCCUUACGACCUACGGGUGAAAGCAGGAGAUCUUUGGACUUUGGGCGAUUCAAUGACCUGAUGUCUUAUUAGCUAGUUGGCGGGGUAAAGGACCACCAAGGCGACGACCGGUAGCUGGUCUGAGAGGAUGAUCAGCCACACUGGAACUGAGACAAGGUCCAGACUCCUACGGGAGGCAGCAGUGGGGAAUAUUCGACAAGGGGCGGAAGCCUGAUCCAGGCAUACCGCGUGGGUGAGGAAGGCCUUCGGGUUGUAAAGCACUUUUGUUGGGAAAGAAAAGCAGCAGGUCAAUACCGCGCUGUUCUGACGGUACCCAAAGAAUAAGCACCGGCUAACUUCGUG
This 492-nucleotide ribosomal RNA is filed under the name uncultured bacterium. RNAcentral describes it as "partial 16S ribosomal RNA". It matches the Rfam family "Bacterial small subunit ribosomal RNA", at positions 29 to 507 of the family's 1533-position model. The record is from RNAcentral.